AGUGAACGCUGGCGGUAGGCCUAACACAUGCAAGUCGAACGGCAGCACAGUAAGAGCUUGCUCUUACGGGUGGCGAGUGGCGGACGGGUGAGGAAUACAUCGGAAUCUACUUUUUCGUGGGGGAUAACGUAGGGAAACUUACGCUAAUACCGCAUACGACCUACGGGUGAAAGCAGGGGAUCUUCGGACCUUGCGCGAUUGAAUGAGCCGAUGUCGGAUUGGCUAGUUGGCGGGGUAAAGGCCCACCAAGGCGACGAUCCGUAGCUGGUCUGAGAGGAUGACCAGCCACACUGGAACUGAGACACGGUCCAGACUCCUACGGGAGGCAGCAGUGGGGAAUAUUGGACAAUGGGCGCAAGCCUGAUCCAGCCAUACCGCGUGGGUGAAGAAGGCCUUCGGGUUGUAAAGCCCUUUUGUUGGGAAAGAAAAGCAGCAGGUUAAUACCCCGCUGUUCUGACGGUACCCAAAGAAUAAGCACCGGCUAACUUCGUG
RNAcentral lists this ribosomal RNA (492 nucleotides) under uncultured bacterium. Its description in RNAcentral is "partial 16S ribosomal RNA". It matches the Rfam family "Bacterial small subunit ribosomal RNA", at positions 29 to 507 of the family's 1533-position model. The record is from RNAcentral.